AUUAAUAGUCAUAGAAUUAAAUUUUUUAAUUUAAUUAUAAAUAUCAUUAUAAAUAAUUAAUCAUUGUAUUUUUAGUUAAGUACUAAAAAUGUAAUCAUUGAGUGCAUUAAUAUUUGGCAAGGACAGCAUUUAUGGAAAAUAAAAGGUCACGAAACAGAAAUAACGGGCUUGUCGCUUAGUUCUUCGUGUUCAGGAUUUUUGGUAACCUCAUCUGCAGAUGGAAUAGUUAAAGUAUGGGACGCAUUUUGAGCUCCCAGUUAUUGGAACCCGUUUGGGAAAUAGAAACAAGUCUGGGAGCUAUUCAGUGUCUUCAUUUAUCUCCAAAUAGUCAGUUUACUAUCGCUGUCGGUGGUGACCACAAAUCUCAUAAUUUCAAAGUCUAGGACCUCACGGAAAAUUUGAAUGGAACACUCUCGGUCACAAACUUUGAUUGAACCGGUCCAAAAUGAAGAAUCUGAUGCCGAAAACCCUGAAGAGAUGGAAACUGAUGAAUGAAUUAGAUUU
This is a long non-coding RNA of Cotesia glomerata, 504 nucleotides long. RefSeq lists it as uncharacterized. The record is from RefSeq and is a predicted model, not a curated record. The transcript is spliced from 2 exons. Lineage: Eukaryota; Metazoa; Arthropoda; Insecta; Hymenoptera; Braconidae.